UGCGUAGGCGGUCGGGUAAGUCUGAUGUGAAAUCUCAGAGCUCAACUCUGAAACUGCAUUGGAUACUAUUCGGCUUGAGGUCUGGAGGGGGGACUGGAAUUCUCGGUGUAGCAGUGAAAUGCGUAGAUAUCGAGAGGAACACCAGUGGCGAAGGCGAGUCCCUGGACAGGUCCUGACGCUGAGGCACGAAAGCUAGGGGAGCAAACA
This 207-nucleotide ribosomal RNA is filed under the name uncultured bacterium. RNAcentral describes it as "partial 16S ribosomal RNA". It matches the Rfam family "Bacterial small subunit ribosomal RNA", at positions 568 to 774 of the family's 1533-position model. The record is from RNAcentral.